Molecule: ribosomal RNA, 301 nt
Filed under: uncultured bacterium
Lineage: Bacteria
Description: partial 16S ribosomal RNA
Rfam family: Bacterial small subunit ribosomal RNA
Source: RNAcentral
CAGUCGCCGCGGGAAUACAGAGGGUGCGAGCGUUAAUCGGAUUUACUGGGCGUAAAGCGUGCGUAGGCGGCUUUUUAAGUCGGAUGUGAAAUCCCUGAGCUUAACUUAGGAAUUGCAUUCGAUACUGGGAAGCUAGAGUAUGGGAGAGGAUGGUAGAAUUCCAGGUGUAGCGGUGAAAUGCGUAGAGAUCUGGAGGAAUACCGAUGGCGAAGGCAGCCAUCUGGCCUAAUACUGACGCUGAGGUACGAAAGCAUGGGGAGCAAACAGGAUUAGAUACCCCGUGUAGUCCCUGUCUCUUAUU